ACGAAGGAUGCAAGCGUUAUCCGGAUUCACUGGGUUUAAAGGGUGUGCAGGUGGGGUAAUAAGUCAGUGGUGAAAGCCCCCGACUCAAUCGGGGAACUGCCAUAGAUACUGUUAUUCUUGAGUGUGGUUGAGGUGGAUGGAAUAUGACAUGUAGCGGUGAAAUGCUUAGAUAUGUCAUAGAACACCGAUCGCGAAGGCAGUCCGCCAAACCAUUACUGACACUGAAACACGAAAGUGCGGGGAUCAAACAGGA
This 253-nucleotide ribosomal RNA is filed under the name uncultured prokaryote. Its description in RNAcentral is "partial 16S ribosomal RNA". It matches the Rfam family "Bacterial small subunit ribosomal RNA", at positions 525 to 777 of the family's 1533-position model. The record is from RNAcentral.